GGAUUAGAUACCCUGGUAGUCCACGCCGUAAACGAUGGAUACUAGCUGUCCGGCCUUUUGGCUGGGUGGCCAAGCGAAAGUGAUAAGUAUCCCACCUGGGGAGUACGUUCGCAAGAAUGAAACUCAAAGGAAUUGACGGGGGCCCGCACAAGCGGUGGAGCAUGUGGUUUAAUUCGAUGAUACGCGAGGAACCUUACCAGGGCUUAAAUGUAUUGUGACAGGGGUGGAAACACCUUUUUCUUCGGACACAUUACAAGGUGCUGCAUGGUUGUCGUCAGCUCGUGUUG
RNAcentral lists this ribosomal RNA (287 nucleotides) under uncultured bacterium. Its description in RNAcentral is "partial 16S ribosomal RNA". It matches the Rfam family "Bacterial small subunit ribosomal RNA", at positions 775 to 1067 of the family's 1533-position model. The record is from RNAcentral.